AAGAGACAGGAACUCAGAUCAUGUAAUCUACCUCCAUAAAAUAAGUAAUAACUAUUGAAUCCUGUUCCACCUGUCUUCGGUUGGGGCGACCACGGGGAAUAAAAAAUCCCCCAUGUGGACCAGGAGCACAUACUCCUACAACCAUGAGCCACAGCUCUAAUGCACAAAACAUUUGACCAUUAGAUCCGGCAAAGCCGAUUAACGGACCAAGUUACCCUAGGGAUAACAGCGCAAUCCCCUUUAAGAGUUCAUAUCGACAAGGGGGUUUACGACCUCGAUGUUGGAUCAAGACAUCCUAAUGGUGCAGCCGCUAUUAAGGGUUCGUUUGUUCAACGAUUAAAG
Molecule: ribosomal RNA, 342 nt
Filed under: Paramugil parmatus (broad-mouthed mullet)
Lineage: Eukaryota; Metazoa; Chordata; Actinopteri; Mugiliformes; Mugilidae
Description: partial large subunit ribosomal RNA
Rfam family: Bacterial large subunit ribosomal RNA
Source: RNAcentral